RNAcentral lists this ribosomal RNA (648 nucleotides) under Triticum aestivum (bread wheat). RNAcentral's name for it is "partial small subunit ribosomal RNA". Lineage: Eukaryota; Viridiplantae; Streptophyta; Magnoliopsida; Poales; Poaceae. The record is from RNAcentral.
AUGUGUCGCUUCUGGUGGGCAAAGCAAGACAAGCAGAAUACUAUGCAUAUGCUUAGUUGGGAGACAUUGACCAAACCAAAGAAAGAAGGGGGAAUGGGCUUCCGUGAUCUAUAUGGGUUCAACCUAGCCAUGUUAGCUAGACAAGCGUGGAAGCUCCUGACCACGCCCGAUUCCCUAUGUGCUAGGGUGCUGAAGGCCCGUUACUUCCCUGCUACAUCGAUUCUACAUGCUGAACCUGCUCAUGGAAUAUCAUAUACUUGGCGCAGCAUCCUCAAGGUGGUGGAUUUAUUAAAGAAGGGAUUGAUAUAUAGGAUUGGCGAUGGUACAGAUGUCAACAUAUGGAAGGAUCCAUGGCUGACCUGGAUGGGAUCGAGAUUACCAUUAACACAACGUGGUAGAUGCCUUCUUACUCGGGUGUGUGAACUAAUCGAGCCAAAGAGUGGAACGUGGGAUGAAAAUCUGGUACGCAAUAUCUUUGUCCUCGAAGAUGUUCAGGUGAUACUAUCAACACCAAUCAAUGAGGAGUAUGGGGACUUCCACGCAUGGUUCUUUGAUACGAAGGGACAAUUUUCUCUCAAAUCUGCUUACAGGGUCUAUGUGCAGUGCAGGGAUGAACAUUUACCAAGCGAGCCAGCCUCCUCAUUUUAA